Molecule: non-coding RNA, 1391 nt
Organism: Zootermopsis nevadensis
Lineage: Eukaryota; Metazoa; Arthropoda; Insecta; Blattodea; Termopsidae
Source: RefSeq, a predicted model, not a curated record
AUUGCAUCUUCUUUUUUUUGUUUUUCGUUCAGCUUCCUGUCUACUCAUUGCUCGGUUCCUUCCUUUAUAUCUUACACCUUCUCUACCCAUCCUAGCAUCUUCACCCACCUUGGCUCCAUCACAGAGUGGAAUCAAUAGUGAGCAGAGGUAGCCCCUGGCAGGGUGCAGCAAACAGGUCUUCAUCCAGCCCCAGAGAAAGGCAAGACAACAAGCGAAAGGAAAUGGAAUAGAAAAACGCGUGUUUGUAUGAAUGACACUCUGUCACCGAUAAGUGAAUCCUCAAGUCAAAGACACUAUUUGGCAUUCCAAGAGAAGCCGUUGAUUCUUGCCGUGUGCAUUUUUAGCAGUCUCCUGCGACACCAGAGGAGUUAUGGAUGACGCUCCGCUGACGUGUCCAACAGGCCGGAUAAUUUAUGAGCCAAUUGAAUUCUCUCGUCCGAAUGUUGCUGAUAGAUGGCGAUGAGUGGUCUGCUUCACGAUCCGACAGUCUUGAUCCCAGGAAGGAAGCCAACGCUGCCCACAGGCGGUCCCAGUGUCGGCCUCAAAAGCCUCUGACACCGCCGAGAAUCGAAUCCCGGUUAUCCAACCCAGAGAAACUUUAAAGUAUGGUAUUUCCAAUAGUCGCCACGGCACUUCGCUUCACUGAUUUGUGGUUGGUUAUUCAUCGCAGGAUUGCCUUGCCAUCUACUGGACUGUUUGGAAAUAUAAAAUGAGGAGUACUGGCCGCUGAAGUUGAUCGUGAAGGUAUCGUGUAAAUUACGGUGAAAAAGAUUUAGUUUUUGGCGUGUGAAGUGUUAAAAUGGUUGUUAAUGUGUUCUGUAAAUUUAUUUAGAGUGAUUUGUUGUUUAACCCAAGCCUUGUUUGGCCUUGUUAAGCCAAUAUCAGAGUGGGAUAAUGUAAGUUUUUGCUGUGUCAUCAUCUUCCACAAGAGUCAGAAUUCAACACCACACUCGCCUAGAGAGACAUUUUUAGGUCGUCUGUGGCAGUGUGUGCCUCAAUUACACUACAAAACAAAAAGCCCUGCACACCAGCCGAGAAUGAUGAGUAGCGGCCACCACACAAGUCCACGUCGGAUACGCACCAUGGCGCACCAGAUUUAGAUACGACGAGAAGUUUCCGACGUCCAAGAAUCACAGCAUCCCACGUGUCGCAUCUAUUCCCAAGGUCAGCGACGGCAUCAAAACACAGCAAACCAUAACGCACAUCUUCAACACCAUCGGAAUCUCAAAUCUCACGAAGUGAUACCAUCUCCUAAGUUACUGGCUUGCAGAGAGCAUUAACUUUGCCCGUGAGAUGUUACACGCGAAGUCUAGGCCCAUAGUCAAAAACGUAUCUUCAGAACGAUGGCUAAUAAUCAGUGCUGAUGCGACAAGACACAAUGUAAGUACGCC